This 72-nucleotide transfer RNA is filed under the name Ovis aries (sheep). It matches the Rfam family "tRNA". From Rfam's summary of the family: Transfer RNA (tRNA) molecules are approximately 80 nucleotides in length. Their secondary structure includes four short double-helical elements and three loops (D, anti-codon, and T loops). Lineage: Eukaryota; Metazoa; Chordata; Mammalia; Artiodactyla; Bovidae. The record is from Rfam by way of RNAcentral.
UCCCUAGUAGUUCAGUUGGUAAAGAAUCUGCCUGUAAUGCAGGAGACCCAGGUUCAACCCCUGGGUUGGGAA